GGCGCUAUAGCCAAGAGGUAAGGCAGGGGCCUGCAAAGCCCCGAUUCCCCGGUUCAAAUCCGGGUGGCGCCUCCA
This 75-nucleotide transfer RNA is filed under the name Clostridiales bacterium. Its description in RNAcentral is "tRNA-Cys". It matches the Rfam family "tRNA". Rfam says of the family: Transfer RNA (tRNA) molecules are approximately 80 nucleotides in length. Their secondary structure includes four short double-helical elements and three loops (D, anti-codon, and T loops). The record is from RNAcentral. Lineage: Bacteria; Bacillati; Bacillota; Clostridia; Eubacteriales.